GCUGGCGACCGGCGCACGGGUGAGUAACACGUAUCCAACCUGCCGAUAACUCGGGGAUAGCCUUUCGAAAGAAAGAUUAAUACCCGAUGGCAUAAUUAGACCGCAUGGUUUGAUUAUUAAAGAAUUUCGGUUAUCGAUGGGGAUGCGUUCCAUUAGGCAGUUGGUGAGGUAACGGCUCACCAAACCUUCGAUGGAUAGGGGUUCUGAGAGGAAGGUCCCCCACAUUGGAACUGAGACACGGUCCAA
RNAcentral lists this ribosomal RNA (246 nucleotides) under uncultured bacterium. RNAcentral describes it as "partial 16S ribosomal RNA". It matches the Rfam family "Bacterial small subunit ribosomal RNA", at positions 87 to 334 of the family's 1533-position model. The record is from RNAcentral.